UACGGAGGGAGCUAGCGUUAUUCGGAAUUACUGGGCGUAAAGCGCACGUAGGCGGCUUUGUAAGUAAGAGGUGAAAGCCCAGAGCUCAACUCUGGAAUUGCCUUUUAGACUGCAUCGCUUGAAUCAUGGAGAGGUCAGUGGAAUUCCGAGUGUAGAGGUGAAAUUCGUAGAUAUUCGGAAGAACACCAGUGGCGAAGGCGACUCACUGGACAUGUAUUGACGCUGAGGUGCGAAAGCGUGGGGAGCAAACAGG
RNAcentral lists this ribosomal RNA (253 nucleotides) under uncultured bacterium. Its description in RNAcentral is "partial 16S ribosomal RNA". It matches the Rfam family "Bacterial small subunit ribosomal RNA", at positions 524 to 776 of the family's 1533-position model. The record is from RNAcentral.